CCUACGGGAGACAGCAGUGAGGAAUAUUGGUCAAUGGACGAGAGUCUGAACCAGCCAAGUAGCGUGAAGGAUGACUGCCCUAUGGGUUGUAAACUUCUUUUAUAUGGGAAUAAACUGUUCCACGUGUGGGAUUUUGUAUGUACCAUAUGAAUAAGGAUCGGCUAACUCCGUGCCAGCAGCCGCGGUAAUACGGAGGAUCCGAGCGUUAUCCGGAUUUAUUGGGUUUAAAGGGAGCGUAGGUGGAUUGUUAAGUCAGUUGUGAAAGUUUGCGGCUCAACCGUAAAAUUGCAGUUGAAACUGGCAGUCUUGAGUACAGUAGAGGUGGGCGGAAUUCGUGGUGUAGCGGUGAAAUGCUUAGAUAUCACGAAGAACUCCGAUUGCGAAGGCAGUUCACUGGACUGCAACUGACACUGAGGCUCGAAAGUGUGGGUAUCAAACAGGAUUAGAUACCCUUGUAGUC
Molecule: ribosomal RNA, 460 nt
Filed under: uncultured bacterium
Lineage: Bacteria
Description: partial 16S ribosomal RNA
Rfam family: Bacterial small subunit ribosomal RNA
Source: RNAcentral